Mus pahari (shrew mouse) is the source of this 487-nucleotide long non-coding RNA. RefSeq lists it as uncharacterized. The record is from RefSeq and is a predicted model, not a curated record. The transcript is spliced from 3 exons. Lineage: Eukaryota; Metazoa; Chordata; Mammalia; Rodentia; Muridae.
AGUCACUCAGUGUCUCACUUUUGAACAGUGGCAACCAGGCAACUGCCUUAAAUCAGCACACAGGCGACAAGACCACUUGGUCACCCUGGGAGGGCAAGAGGAGAUGGAGCAGGUGUCAACUUACAAGAUCAGGGGCCUCGGAGUCGGGCUGUCUCUUCCUGAGAGAGGAGAAUCUCUGUUGACUGCGUGCGGAGAAGCGGCGGAAGGACUCGCGGCUCCGCGAGGCCAGGUGUCUGAAGGAGGAGGUGCGCUUGAACGGGGUGCGAGCGGCGGACUCCCCGCUCCGCUCUGUGCCCACCGUGGCCGUCACCAAGUGCAGAGCCUCCUGGAAGGACCGCCUCACCGUGCCAACCCACUGAGUCAUGUGUGUCUGGGCCACCGAAAGCUUGUCGCCCAGGCAUCCGUGCGGGUCACGAAACAGGGACGGGACGGGUCAGCAGGUGGUCACCAGCAGGAGCCUCGAGUCAACCAACCAGGUCGUCCAGUU